AGCAGUAGCCGCGGUAACACGUAGGGUGCAAGCGUUAAUCGGAAUUACUGGGCGUAAAGCGUGCGCAGGCGGUUAUAUAAGACAGAUGUGAAAUCCCCGGGCUCAACCUGGGAACUGCAUUUGUGACUGUAUAGCUAGAGUACGGCAGAGGGGGAUGGAAUUCCGCGUGUAGCAGUGAAAUGCGUAGAUAUGCGGAGGAACACCGAUGGCGAAGGCAAUCCCCUGGGCCUGUACUGACGCUCAUGCACGAAAGCGUGGGGAGCAAACAGGAUUAGAUACCCCCGUAGUCCCUGUCUCUUAUAC
Molecule: ribosomal RNA, 303 nt
Filed under: uncultured bacterium
Lineage: Bacteria
Description: partial 16S ribosomal RNA
Rfam family: Bacterial small subunit ribosomal RNA
Source: RNAcentral